Molecule: non-coding RNA, 147 nt
Organism: Pongo abelii (Sumatran orangutan)
Lineage: Eukaryota; Metazoa; Chordata; Mammalia; Primates; Hominidae
Source: Rfam
GCUGGGCAUGGUGGCGCAUGCCUGUAGUCCUAGCUCCUUGGGAGGCUGAGGCAGGAUGAUUGCUUAUGACCAGGAGUUUGGGCUGCAAUGAACUAUGAUCACCCCACUGCUUGCCAGCCUGGGCAACAGAGUGAGACCUUGUCUCAA